GGGGUAUCCCUAUUCACAAGAGCCACUUCCUGUUUAUGGUUUAUGACGGGUCAUAAAACCCAUUGUGUAGGGAUGACAGGUGUAAUGCCUGUGGUGGACCUGCAGGGGUCGCUGGGGUGCGGGAUCUGUAUAGGCAGAGGUGUGUAUGUGGGUGUGAUUAGUGUAUGCAUGUGUGUGUGUGUGUGUGUGUGUGUGUGUGUGUGUGUGUGUGUGUGUGUGUGUGUGUGUGUGUGUGUGUGUGUGUGUGUGUGUGUGUGUGGUAUGCGAGGCCAGGGCGGCUGGUCUGUAGGGGUGUUAACAGGAAGAUCACAGUGCUGUUGGAAGGACGGCCAGCCGGCAAUGUGGACAGGGGGGGCGAGGCCCUUGAUGGCGGAAGUGGGCAUACAGACGAUGUCAUAGAGAGUGUGAGGUGGGACACAGUAGAUUACGUGAAAAGCGCUAUAUAAAUUGAAUCUAUUAUUAUUAUUAACAGAUAUUCUAGUGAUUUUCAUCUAACAUGGUGUAUUUGGAUCAACUUUAUUUUACCAUUAGUAGAUUGUCUGUCUAUGAUGCGUUGAGUGGGCGUAGGCCUGUAGGACCUACGUGUGCGUGGGUCCAGUACCUAUUGGACAGGCGUCUAUGACGUCGGGGCCUUAGGUGUGAAUGUCUACCGAGGGACUGCUAUCAGGCAUAAAUAUACGGGGCCCCGUGAUACGGGAGCGUACGACCUCCGACCCUGACGUUAGACACGCUAUUCUAAGUUAGUAAACGCGUCGUAGCAGUUGGAAGAAAAAAAAACAGCGAUCCGUCCUGCACAACUAUGCCGACUGACUCUGCGAUUACUUCACAGCGAAUUGCGGUGCCGGAGGCGAGAGCGUGAAACAGCAGCAGGGUCCACGUGGAAGUUUGCCUGAUAUUCGGCUCAACAUUCAAAGACCGAUUCUAGCAGACCAGACUAAUGUGCUGACAAGCGGUAGUUUUGUACCUAUCGAGGCCAAUGUCAUUCAGCGAACCCCCGGACCAAAUCGACUGUCCAAGAAGAAUUUGAAAAGAUCGGCGGGGGUAGUGGUGGCUAUACCCUGUACACCACUGGCCAUAGAACAGCUACAAAUUCCUUAUAAAAAGGCUCGCAAGGAUGCCACACAUAAUGGUUUAACUCCGGAGAAUAUUACCCAGGUUAUACAGGCAGUCAUAAAUCCGCAAAUUGCGCCACAUGGAGCGGCAUGGACUGAUCCCAAACACCGUGUGAUCGGGGACGUGGAGGUGUAUGUGCAUGAGUCGCCUACAGAGACCGUCACUGUGCAACCGGAUGGGACUAUACAGCACGCCCAUGGAGAUCCCCAGUGUGCGCCACCACCAGAGCUGACCGCCGACGAUUGGGCUGGUCUUGACGACAUCUCGUCCUGGACUUCAUCGUUGUUGGAACAUAUCGACUUCACUCCUGCGCAGUGGAUCGACUCUCCAGCUACAUCCGUAGAGGCUACCACCAGUGCAGAGCCUGUACAACACCAUCGUCAGCGUAAACUGGGGGUGGAGGCUGGUAAACGUGUUGACAGUAUAUAUCAGAAGCUCGAAGAACAGACGAAGAAGUCCUUCACGGCUCUCAGGGCCGAGAUUGCGCGUGAUCGUAUGACUGCUGAAUCCCCAAACACUGAGACCAGUAAUGGUCGUGCUAUCGUUGCCCUUCAGCGUAAGCAUUUGGAUGCCGUGGCAGCCGUGCGUGUCAACACGCAGGGCAUAGUGAGAAUUAACGCGCAAGAGGGGUUAAGAGCUGCUAAAACCGCUCGAAAAUUCUGGUUAAUGCAAUCUGCUAGCGAAGCCAACGUCAAUGCCUAUCGGGCAAUGAGUACCGAGAUGUCUGUGAUUAAUGAAACACUAGCAAAGCUUACGAUGAAUGCUAUUAUUUGAUUUGUGUUUUUGUUUUUUUAAUGUUUUUUUCUUUUAUUUCAUGGAGAGGGUAUCUUUUGUUUUAAACUGCAUGUAAUAAAACUUUUUUUCUUUUAAUACCUGACUACUUAACGUUUUUUUUUUUUUUUUUUUUUUUUUUUAAAUAUUAUUAUUUAUAUAUAUAUAUAUAUAUAUUUUUUUUUUUUCUAUCUAUUGGCAU
This is a long non-coding RNA of Gadus morhua (Atlantic cod), 2086 nucleotides long. The record is from Ensembl. Lineage: Eukaryota; Metazoa; Chordata; Actinopteri; Gadiformes; Gadidae.